GCCUCGGUAGCUCAACUGGUUAGAGCAGUGGACUCUUAAUCCGAAGGUUGAGGGUUCGAGUCCCUCCCGAGGCAC
RNAcentral lists this transfer RNA (75 nucleotides) under freshwater metagenome. RNAcentral describes it as "tRNA-Lys". It matches the Rfam family "tRNA". From Rfam's summary of the family: Transfer RNA (tRNA) molecules are approximately 80 nucleotides in length. Their secondary structure includes four short double-helical elements and three loops (D, anti-codon, and T loops). The record is from RNAcentral.